UACGUAGGGUGCGAGCGUUGUCCGGAAUUACUGGGCGUAAAGAGCUCGUAGGUGGUUUGUCGCGUUGUCCGUGAAAACUCACAGCUCAACUGUGGGCGUGCGGGCGAUACGGGCAGACUGGAGUACUGCAGGGGAGACUGGAAUUCCUGGUGUAGCGGUGGAAUGCGCAGAUAUCAGGAGGAACACCGGUGGCGAAGGCGGUGGUCUGGGCCGGCACUGACGCUGAGGAGCGAAAGCGUGGGGAGCGAACAGG
RNAcentral lists this ribosomal RNA (253 nucleotides) under uncultured bacterium. RNAcentral's name for it is "partial 16S ribosomal RNA". It matches the Rfam family "Bacterial small subunit ribosomal RNA", at positions 524 to 776 of the family's 1533-position model. The record is from RNAcentral.